This 1203-nucleotide long non-coding RNA is filed under the name Homo sapiens (human). Its description in RNAcentral is "HSALNT0364536". The record is from RNAcentral. Lineage: Eukaryota; Metazoa; Chordata; Mammalia; Primates; Hominidae.
AACAUAGACACUCUUCACUGUUAACAUAUUUUGGCGAGCUAGCCAGGAGGAAGAGAUAAGCCCAAAGUCUGGGAUUUAUUCUUCUCCUUUCUCCUUUUCCUUUCUGCUCCAAACAGGCGAAUCUCUUUCUCUCUCUUUUCCUUUCCAACCUGGGACCCUUGGUGGGCAGCACCUAAACAUGGAAGCAACUGCAGGUUUCUGGCCAUGGUCAGUGAAACUAAGGGGUUUCCACAGGCAAAGCCCAACCACCACUGCCCAAUUUGCUUAAGGAAUCUGGGUCUUUUUCAUUUUUUUACUCUUCUUUUUUUUUUUUUUUUUCCGUCUUUCAAUGGCUGUUUCCUAGUAGCUCCUUGGAAACUGAGGACAAUUGGCUGAGGUCACUCCCCAGUGUUGCCUGAAGGCCUAGGAACAAAUGGGAAUAAUUGCCCUACCCAGAAGGGGAAAGGACUUUUUAAAAAUCUUUUCCACACCUGGUCCCUGAUUCCUAUGUGUGGUGCAGUUUGGAGCAAACUACCUGUUUCAGGUGACUCAAACUUUCUUUUCUUAUGCUAAAUUCUUCACUUCCCCUAUUCAACUGGCUAAGGGCAAAGGAAACCCACCAAGCCUCCAGUUCCUGUCAUUAAAGUUUAUGGAAUGGGAUAAGUUAUGGAAUGGGAUUUGAUAAGCGUGGCCUUAUCAAAUUAUAAGGAUGCUAAAAGUCGAGUUUUACACCCAGGAAACAGCUCACAGUAGGCUCUGGAGGGAAUGCAUGCAAAGUGGCACCGGUGCCCACCUAAGGCCAAGAGACAUCUGGAACUCUUAAGAUUGAACCCCACAGGAGGACACUCGGAGGGGAUCAUCCGGAACUCAAACUUUCCAAAGAAGAUGCUCUCUGCAGAGAGACCAUCGAGCUUCAGAUGAUCACUCAACAAAGGCUCCAGCAAGUUCCAGGUGAAGACACCACCCCUGGCCAUCAAGGAGCUACCCUGCCUCCACUAGACACAGCAGGAAGCCAUUGGCUGCUCUUUGCAAGGAAUCCUUAGACAGACCUCUGGGAGGAAUCUGACUACUGUUUUCCCCAAAACAAUACGCCAUCAGCAGGAAGCGGCUAAGACCAGUCAUCAUCCAUAUUUUAAAGGCAGUUACACGUACUUCUUCAGAGGGGGAAAAUGAUAUGGAAGGGAGGAAGGGAAUUGCUGGGAAGGGAAGGGCAUGGUCCCUUUA